Dioscorea cayenensis subsp. rotundata (Guinea yam) is the source of this 534-nucleotide long non-coding RNA. RefSeq lists it as uncharacterized. The transcript is spliced from 5 exons. The record is from RefSeq and is a predicted model, not a curated record. NCBI's taxonomy places the organism in Eukaryota, Viridiplantae, Streptophyta, Magnoliopsida, Dioscoreales, Dioscoreaceae.
UUCAUUCAGCCGAUCACCCUUCUUUGAAAAAUACUUCCUUCGGCGAGCUUUUCGAUAAAUCAACACUUCUACUCUCUUCCUCUCAUUCUCUUGGUGGCGAAGGAUCCUCCUAGGGGAAGGAAAUCGUCGAUCCGUGAGCGCAUCUCAAGGCGGGACGUAUAGUUUUACUGCGACGUUGGACUGGAUUAUGCUGGGUGGCGAAGUAUCCUCCAAGGGGAAGAAAAUCAUUGACCAGUGAGUGCUCCUCGAGGCGAGACGACUAGUUCGACUGCGAUGUUGGAUUUCGUUGUGCUGGGCAGGCAAUUGAGUGACAUAUCUAUUCUUCUUGUCUAGGUUAGUUUGCAGAGUGUAUGUAAACUCUAUAGAUCCACUAGACUUGCCCUUUUUAUGUAUUGUUCUUGUAUUUAUACUUUCUAGUUGUAUUUGGAAACCCAUGCUUGUACUGUUGUUGAUGUUUUCCUGUAUUUAGGGUCCCUACUGUAAGGGAACCCUAUUAUAACUUUAUUGUUGAUAUUGUCUCAUACUUUAGUAACU